RNAcentral lists this ribosomal RNA (211 nucleotides) under uncultured bacterium. Its description in RNAcentral is "partial 16S ribosomal RNA". It matches the Rfam family "Bacterial small subunit ribosomal RNA", at positions 524 to 734 of the family's 1533-position model. The record is from RNAcentral.
GACGUAGGGGGCAAGCGUUGUCCGGAAUUAUUGGGCGUAAAGCGCUCGUAGGCGGAUCGAUAAGUCUGUGAAGAAAGACCCGGGCUCAACUCGGGGAACGGCAUAGAUACUGUUGAUCUUGAGACAGUCAGAGGAUGAUGGAAUUCCAGGUGUAGCGGUGAAAUGCGUAGAUAUGUGGAGGAACACCAGUGGCGAAGGCGACUCUCUGGUC